This 2890-nucleotide ribosomal RNA is filed under the name Vibrio sp. JC009. RNAcentral describes it as "23S ribosomal RNA". It matches the Rfam family "Bacterial large subunit ribosomal RNA". The record is from RNAcentral. Lineage: Bacteria; Pseudomonadati; Pseudomonadota; Gammaproteobacteria; Vibrionales; Vibrionaceae.
GGUUAAGUGACUAAGCGUACACGGUGGAUGCCUUGGCAGUCAGAGGCGAUGAAGGACGUAUUAACUUGCGAUAAGCCCAGAUUAGGCAGUAAAAGCCACUUGAGUCUGGGAUUUCCGAAUGGGGAAACCCACUUACAUAAGUAAGUAUCCUUAACUGAAUACAUAGGUUAAGGAGGCGAACCGGGGGAACUGAAACAUCUAAGUACCCCGAGGAAAAGAAAUCAACCGAGAUUCCGAAAGUAGCGGCGAGCGAAAUUGGACUAGCCCUUAAGCUUUUAAUGAUACAGGUGAAGGCUCUGGAAAGUGCCGCGAUACAGGGUGAUAGCCCCGUAACCGACAUGUCAUUUUAAGUGAAAUCGAGUAAGGCGGGACACGUGAUAUCCUGUCUGAAUAUGGGGGGACCAUCCUCCAAGGCUAAAUACUACUGACUGACCGAUAGUGAACCAGUACCGUGAGGGAAAGGCGAAAAGAACCCCUGUGAGGGGAGUGAAAUAGAACCUGAAACCGUGUACGUACAAGCAGUAGGAGCCUCCUUUGUGGGGUGACUGCGUACCUUUUGUAUAAUGGGUCAGCGACUUAUAUUCAGUGGCAAGGUUAACCAUUUAGGGGAGCCGUAGGGAAACCGAGUCUUAACUGGGCGUUUAGUCUCUGGAUAUAGACCCGAAACCAGGUGAUCUAGCCAUGGGCAGGUUGAAGGUUGAGUAACAUCAACUGGAGGACCGAACCGACUAAUGUUGAAAAAUUAGCGGAUGACUUGUGGCUAGGGGUGAAAGGCCAAUCAAACCUGGAGAUAGCUGGUUCUCCCCGAAAGCUAUUUAGGUAGCGCCUCGGACGAAUACUACUGGGGGUAGAGCACUGUUAAGGCUAGGGGGUCAUCCCGACUUACCAACCCUUUGCAAACUCCGAAUACCAGUAAGUACUAUCCGGGAGACACACGGCGGGUGCUAACGUCCGUCGUGGAGAGGGAAACAACCCAGACCGCCAGCUAAGGUCCCAAAUUAUAGCUAAGUGGGAAACGAUGUGGGAAGGCUAAAACAGCUAGGAUGUUGGCUUAGAAGCAGCCAUCAUUUAAAGAAAGCGUAAUAGCUCACUAGUCGAGUCGGCCUGCGCGGAAGAUGUAACGGGGCUAAGCUAUAAACCGAAGCUGCGGCUGCAUACUUUGUAUGCGGGGUAGGGGAGCGUUCUGUAAGCCGUUGAAGGUGUAUCGUAAGGUAUGCUGGAGGUAUCAGAAGUGCGAAUGCUGACAUGAGUAACGAUAAUGGGGGUGAAAAACCUCCACGCCGGAAGACCAAGGGUUCCUGUCCAACGUUAAUCGGGGCAGGGUAAGUCGACCCCUAAGGCGAGGCUGAAAAGCGUAGUCGAUGGGAAACGGGUUAAUAUUCCCGUACUUCUUACAAUUGCGAUGGGGGGACGGAGAAGGCUAGGUGGGCCUGGCGACGGUUGUCCAGGUUCAAGUGCGUAGGCUUGAGAGUUAGGUAAAUCCGGCUCUCUUUAAGGCUGAGACACGACGUCGAGCUGCUACGGCAGUGAAGUCAUUGAUGCCAUGCUUCCAGGAAAAGCCUCUAAGCUUCAGAUUGUAAGGAAUCGUACCCCAAACCGACACAGGUGGUCGGGUAGAGAAUACCAAGGCGCUUGAGAGAACUCGGGUGAAGGAACUAGGCAAAAUGGUACCGUAACUUCGGGAGAAGGUACGCUCCUGACGGUGAAGUCCCUAGCGGAUGGAGCUAUUAGGAGUCGCAGAUACCAGGUGGCUGCAACUGUUUAUUAAAAACACAGCACUGUGCAAAAUCGUAAGAUGACGUAUACGGUGUGACGCCUGCCCGGUGCCGGAAGGUUAAUUGAUGGGGUUAGUCUUUGGACGAAGCUCUUGAUCGAAGCCCCGGUAAACGGCGGCCGUAACUAUAACGGUCCUAAGGUAGCGAAAUUCCUUGUCGGGUAAGUUCCGACCUGCACGAAUGGCGUAAUGAUGGCCACGCUGUCUCCACCCGAGACUCAGUGAAAUUGAAAUCGCUGUGAAGAUGCAGUGUACCCGCGGCUAGACGGAAAGACCCCGUGAACCUUUACUACAGCUUGGCACUGAACAUUGAGCCUACAUGUGUAGGAUAGGUGGGAGGCUUUGAACCCGUGUCGCCAGAUACGGUGGAGCCAUCCUUGAAAUACCACCCUUGUAUGUUUGAUGUUCUAACUUAGCCCCAUUAUCUGGGGUGAGGACAGUGCCUGGUGGGUAGUUUGACUGGGGCGGUCUCCUCCCAAAGAGUAACGGAGGAGCACGAAGGUGGGCUAAUCACGGUUGGACAUCGUGAGGUUAGUGCAAUGGCAUAAGCCCGCUUGACUGCGAGAAUGACAAUUCGAGCAGGUGCGAAAGCAGGUCAUAGUGAUCCGGUGGUUCUGAAUGGAAGGGCCAUCGCUCAACGGAUAAAAGGUACUCCGGGGAUAACAGGCUGAUACCGCCCAAGAGUUCAUAUCGACGGCGGUGUUUGGCACCUCGAUGUCGGCUCAUCACAUCCUGGGGCUGAAGUCGGUCCCAAGGGUAUGGCUGUUCGCCAUUUAAAGUGGUACGCGAGCUGGGUUUAGAACGUCGUGAGACAGUUCGGUCCCUAUCUGCCGUGGGCGUUGGAGAAUUGAAAGGGGCUGCUCCUAGUACGAGAGGACCGGAGUGGACGAACCUCUGGUGUUCGGGUUGUCAUGCCAAUGGCAUUGCCCGGUAGCUAAGUUCGGAAUCGAUAACCGCUGAAAGCAUCUAAGCGGGAAGCGAGCCUUGAGAUGAGUUCUCCCUGGCAGUUUAACUGUCCUAAAGGGUUGUCGUAGACUACGACGUUGAUAGGCAGGGUGUGUAAGCGUUGUGAGGCGUUGAGCUAACCUGUACUAAUUGCCCGUGAGGCUUAACCAU